UGUUAAAAAUUGUCUAAUUUUAUUGUUUAAAACUAAUAUGGCUGACAGAAUAAUUAAACAGCUACAUUUGGUGUGCAAUGUGUAGCUCAUGCUGAUGUACAAUGAUCAAUUUUUAAUAUUAGAAAUAAAUAAAAUUUUUAAUA
Gossypium raimondii (Peruvian cotton) is the source of this 143-nucleotide non-coding RNA. The record is from Rfam. NCBI's taxonomy places the organism in Eukaryota, Viridiplantae, Streptophyta, Magnoliopsida, Malvales, Malvaceae.